Long non-coding RNA from Phalaenopsis equestris, 773 nucleotides. RefSeq lists it as uncharacterized. The record is from RefSeq and is a predicted model, not a curated record. The transcript has 2 exons. NCBI's taxonomy places the organism in Eukaryota, Viridiplantae, Streptophyta, Magnoliopsida, Asparagales, Orchidaceae.
UUUUCAUGUUUGUUUUUCUUGGUUUUCGGUGUGUAGAUUCAAGGAGUGCUUCUGAAUGCAUUUCAUGUGUCACUAACAUGAAGGCUGACAUCGAAGAUAAAAUGGAUAUUGAUCACAUAGGUGCUGCUCAUAAAAACAUGAAAGCUGGUUUGAAGGCUGAUGAAGAGGAGCAGAUUCCACCAAAUUUGGUCAAGGCGCCUGAUACAAAUAAACCAACAAAGAAGCGCAUCACACCCGUUGCUGUCAGCUAAGAGUUUUAUCAGUCUCAUGAGCAUCACAAGGUUGAUGUGCUUACAAGUGCACCAAAAAUUUCUGAAGAAGCAACUCAUUUAUUUUGCAUUUGAAUUAUGGAUGUAUGUGGAAAACCAAGGGAAACAAAGUGAUGAUGGAGAGAUUAUAUUAAAGCAAACCUUCCUUGCCUUGCCGAAGUUACCAUCAUUGGGAUGGGGUGAUCUUCUUUCUAUGGAUGGUGUUUAUUGAUUAUUCUCAUUAGGAUAAUGUUACUUCUCCGUUAUUGCUUUCUUUUUGAAGAUCCAAACUGUGUUCUUUUCUGCAGAGUUAGCCGCAAGUUGCUGUUUGCCCUGUAGUGAUGAAGUUUGUUGUAUGAUUAACUUACAUUCCUAAGAACCAUUUACAGUGUUGUUUUAUCUACUACUCCACCCAUGUACUUUAUCGCAGUGUAUUUAGCAAGUUAAUAUUUUUUUGUUGUCUUAUUAAUCAGUAUAUCGUUGUGUAACAAAGAUAUUGCAAAGAAAAAGCACUCAUUUACGGAA